CGAGAAGUUACGAUGUUCUCGCGACUAAAGAAGUCCCUAGAGAGGGUACUCUGAUAAUGUCCUAUUUAGUUCUAAGUGGUAUAUAUACUAAAGAGGACAUAUAUUAGAGAGAACUGGAAAACACUCAUGACAAUUUAAGAGUCAUAUCAGUUGAUCAAGUAACGGUCGUCUUAUAUGAGGUCUUCACUUACGUAGGGCUUCUAGUAGUAACAGAGAACAAACACAGUACGGACAUGUUAAUUAUUAUCUAGAGCCAUACGAGGGACUUUAUAACAACAUCGGUUCCAGGUUCAUAACUUCUAAUUGUUCGAGGCAUUCGAGCAGACCUUACACUGGUGUUUUGUAUAACCUAGAGUCAGCAUUCUUACUGUUUCUACUAUCGAAGAGGGGUUAGGUACGACCAUUUCGGGGUCUCUUAACUAAUACAGGCUCUAGUUCUUUCUACUCAACACCUGUAAAGACCUCUUCACUUCCUUUAAGUGGUCUCCAACAACAAAGAGUUCGAAUCCAAUUGCUACGAAUCUCAGUCUAGACAGUACAAACACGAUCUGAACAACUGAUCCGUUAGCCAUUAACUAGGUAACUCCAAUAAUGAACUAUCUAGAUUGUUGGUGUUACUAGCGUUAGACGUGUUUCUUCUACCUUACCGGGGUCUCUAGUACAACAAUAUAUCUUGUUCACAAAGUUCGGGACCUCGAGGUUUCAGAUUACCAUCACCGGGUUGAUCUAACAAGGCUGACUCUAGGUCCGGCCAAUAUAACUACCCUUCGAAUCCAUAACCUGGUGGUUCGACCAAUCUUGACUUUAGGUAAAGAA
RNAcentral lists this ribosomal RNA (816 nucleotides) under Triticum aestivum (bread wheat). RNAcentral's name for it is "partial small subunit ribosomal RNA". Lineage: Eukaryota; Viridiplantae; Streptophyta; Magnoliopsida; Poales; Poaceae. The record is from RNAcentral.